RNAcentral lists this transfer RNA (68 nucleotides) under Apaloderma vittatum (bar-tailed trogon). Lineage: Eukaryota; Metazoa; Chordata; Aves; Trogoniformes; Trogonidae. The record is from Rfam by way of RNAcentral.
UAGCUCAGUGGUUUGAGCGUGGUGCUGGCAACAAGGACCAACACUGAGGUUGCGGGUUCAAUUCCCGC